RNAcentral lists this ribosomal RNA (468 nucleotides) under uncultured bacterium. RNAcentral's name for it is "partial 16S ribosomal RNA". It matches the Rfam family "Bacterial small subunit ribosomal RNA", at positions 28 to 507 of the family's 1533-position model. The record is from RNAcentral.
GACGAACGCUGGCGGCGUGCUUAACACAUGCAAGUCGAACGGAAAGGCCCUGUUUUUUUGGGUUUCCGGAUGGCGGAAGGCGGAAGAAUAAGGUAUGUAACCUCCCCUUUAUUUUGGGAGACCUUAAGGAAACGGGGCUUAUUACAGGACAGAAUACCCUCUUCCAUGGGGGGGAUGGGAAAUUUAAGCCGUUGGGGGAUGGAUCGGCGGAUUACCGGUUUGUUGGUGGGUUGGUGGCUUACCAAGGCUGUGACGGGUAGCCGACUGGGGAGGGUGACCGGCCACAUUGGGACUGAGAUACGGCGCAGACUGCUACGGGAGGCAGUAGUGGGGAGUAUUGCACAAUGGGCGCACGCCUGAUGCAGCAGCGCCGCGUGCGGGAUGACGGCCUUCUGGUUGAAAACCGCUUUAGCCUGUGACGAAGCGUGAGUGACGGUAAUGGAUAAAGAAGCACCGGCUAACUACGUG